UACAAAUGAGAAUAUUAUAGUGUCAACCCAUUUGUAAGCACCUACAUUUUGUUAACAUUUGACAGUGAUAUGUUUAUUUGGGAUUAUUAAUUACUCUUAACAAUUAUAUGUGAUCUGAUCAACAGUCAUCUGAGUCUGUCUUUAGUCUUUCCCUUAUAUUUUUUUCUUUUGAUUCUAGGUAUCUGUAAUUCUUGCCCACCAAACAAGCCUGCAGAAUCUGUUCAGUCAAAUAACUCCAGCUCAUUUCUGAAUUUUGGUUUUGCAAACCGUUUUUCAAAACCCAAAGGACCAAGGAAUCCACCACCAACUUGGAAUAUUUAAUAAAACUCCAGAUUUAUAAUAAUAUGGGCUGCAAGUACACCUGCAAAUAAAACUACUAGAAUACUGCUAGUUAAAAUAAGUGCUCUAUAUGCAUAAUAUCAAAUAUGAAGAUAUGCUAAUGUGUUAAUAGCUUUUAAAAGAAAAGCAAAAUGCCAAUAAGUGCCAGUUUUGCAUUUUCAUAUCAUUUGCAUUGAGUUGAAAACUGCAAAUAAAAGUUUGUCACUUGAGCUUAUGUACAGAA
This 562-nucleotide long non-coding RNA is filed under the name Homo sapiens (human). RNAcentral describes it as "non-protein coding lnc-RSBN1-2:1". The record is from RNAcentral. Lineage: Eukaryota; Metazoa; Chordata; Mammalia; Primates; Hominidae.